This 73-nucleotide transfer RNA is filed under the name Bacteroidales bacterium. Its description in RNAcentral is "tRNA-Gly". It matches the Rfam family "tRNA". Rfam says of the family: Transfer RNA (tRNA) molecules are approximately 80 nucleotides in length. RNAcentral also lists the same sequence under 1 other name. The record is from RNAcentral. Lineage: Bacteria; Pseudomonadati; Bacteroidota; Bacteroidia; Bacteroidales.
GCGGUAGUAGCUCAGUUGGCAGAGCGUUGGCUUCCCAAGCCGAAGGUCGCGGGUUCGAGCCCCGUCUACCGCU